CCACCCAAUCACUGGGUGACUCCUAUGUAACCACCAAGCCAGCCACUUAGCCAGAAAAUGUUUAGUGUCUGGCGCGACAGUGGUCUCUAAUGACACUUGAGUGGAAAAAUGCGUGGAAAUGGCAAUUAAAAUAUGGUCGCCGAUAUGAACCCAGCACCUUUUUGGCGGAAACAAAAGCGUUUACCGUACGAAUUAUUAUUUAGUAAAGUGCACUAAAAACGGCAAGACUGGUGCUACACGUACGUAGAGAUGGCCAAGUAGCGAUGACACUUGUAUCGAAUAGAUAUCGGCUACGAGAGUUUUCUCUGCUAAUAUUAGGCACUGAUUUUAUUGCAAGCUAAAUUAUAGUUUGGCUAAAAAUAAAAUACGUCACACCUAAUGGUUCAUAUAAUUUCCUGCUUUUAUUUGUUUUCCUGCUGCACUUGCACCAGUCAAGUCGAUAGUUGCAGCAGAGUUGCCAGAUGUCUAUGACACUAGAGGUUAAUUUGAAUGUAAAGUAGCACGGCACCAAAAUAUAGCAAAAACAAAUCGCAAAGUAUAUCUGAUGUAAAUAAAUGUAUUACUACUGCUUCUGAAAAUUUAUGUAAUACAUUUGAGUGCAGAAUAAAUGAUUAUUGCAACCUAGA
Long non-coding RNA from Drosophila pseudoobscura, 626 nucleotides. RefSeq lists it as uncharacterized. The transcript has 2 exons. NCBI's taxonomy places the organism in Eukaryota, Metazoa, Arthropoda, Insecta, Diptera, Drosophilidae. The record is from RefSeq and is a predicted model, not a curated record.